GGACGAACGCUGGCGGCGUGCUUAACACAUGCAAGUGGAGCGACGACCGGGCUUCGCCCGGGGCAGAGCCGCGAACGGGUGAGUAACACGUGGGUAACCUGCCUCAAUGAUUGGGACAACCCGGGGAAACUCGGGCUAAUACCAAAUGUGUUCACUCCUUCUAAGGGGAGUGAGGAAAGGAAGCUUCGGCCUCCGCAUUGAGAUGGGCCCGCGGCCCAUUAGCUUGUUGGUGAGGUAACGGCUCACCAAGGCUUCGAUGGGUAGCUGGUCUGAGAGGACGAUCAGCCACACUGGGACUGAGACACGGCCCAGACUCCUACGGGAGGCAGCAGUGGGGAAUCUUGCACAAUGCGCGAAAGCGUGAUGCAGCAACGCCGCGUGGGGGAAGACGGCCUUCGGUUGUAAACCCUUUCAGUUGGGACGAAGCUUCGUCGGUGAAUAGCCGGUUGGAGUGACGGUACCUUCAGAAGAAGCCCCGGCUAACUACGUG
This 490-nucleotide ribosomal RNA is filed under the name uncultured bacterium. Its description in RNAcentral is "bacterial SSU rRNA". It matches the Rfam family "Bacterial small subunit ribosomal RNA", at positions 27 to 507 of the family's 1533-position model. The record is from RNAcentral.